CCGCGAAGGGAGCGGGGCAGAGGCGGGAGCGGUGGCGCUCACUACCCCGGUGCUGUCCCGCACACACGGUCCCAACGAGGCUCUGGCGCCCCGGGAGCUGCCCCGCCCGGGGCUGCCGGAGGAUGUUCCGCUUUCCUAUGCCUCCGCAAACCCAGCACUGACGGUCCCAGGCGUUAUUUGCUCUAUUAACAGCCAUGCAGAAGCGGGACCUGCCUACGACACAAGCCACGGCACCAGUUCCUGGUAACAGGCCACGAGUGGGUAGUUUGGGGUAUCCCACGCUUGAUGCGACCCUCUCUGCCCGGCGAGAGCCCCCGGCUCCGGGAGUUUCCGAGCUGGCAGCCAGCGCUGUAAGAGCAGGAGCGGGUACAGGGCAGGGCAGAAGCCCUGGAGCCUCCUGACAGCCCCAUACGCAGCGAGGCUGAGCUGCCGGCCACGGCCAUCAUCCCUUCCCCUCCUAGCAGCAUCCCUAUAUUCUCCUUUGCCUUCACACUAAGAGUCUGGCGCCAGCGAUGGACAAGGCACACAGCAAAAGUUGUUGCUGCAGGGCAGUGAAAGGAUGCACUGGAAAACAUGAGGAUGUGUUCUGGCAGGACGAAGGAAGCAGAGCUCCAGAGGAGGAUGGGUAUUUACUUUCCAGAAGGAUGAGUGUUUACUUCCCAGCUACAUCAGGAAAGCAGUGCCCCAUGCAGACCGAUGCGCACAAAGCUAUGCAGGAGGCUUCAGGGAGUAAAGCAGAUACGAACAGUGGGCUCCUGUGCACUGGGUCUGCUUCCAUGGGUAGAGCCCCCACUCCAGAUGGAUUCGAGCCCUCGCUGCCACUUCACCCCUCUCCCUGUUGCAUCAUUUCCC
This 852-nucleotide long non-coding RNA is filed under the name Amazona collaria (yellow-billed parrot). RNAcentral describes it as "lncRNA (ENSACOG00000001199.1)". The record is from RNAcentral. Lineage: Eukaryota; Metazoa; Chordata; Aves; Psittaciformes; Psittacidae.